AAAAGAAACUAACCAGGAUUCCCUUAGUAGCGGCGAGCGAAGCGGGAAAAGCCCAAUAUGAAAAGCCUUUUUGGCAUUGUAUUUGAGCAGUCUGGAGGCGUCAGUUCAGGAAAGUGGCAUGGAAAUGUCCGCCGUGGAGGGUGAAAGCCCCGUCCAUCCUGGACAGGACGUCCUCGUACAGGACUGUUUCAGUCGAGUCGGGUAGCUUGGGAAUGCUGCUCUAAUCGGUGGUAAAUCUCAUCGAAGGCUAAAUACUGGUGGGAGACCGAUAGCGAACAAGUACCGUGAGGGAAAGUUGAAAAGGCACUUUGAAAAGAGAGUGAAAAGAACCUGAAACCGUUAUGGGGGAAGCGAAUUGCGUUGGAAUGAAUGGUUAUUGACUGAUCAGCCCGUUUUGUUGGUGCAUUGAGUCAAUAGCUUAUCUGCCGUGGGUUUCGGUUGGCCGAUUUUGGGCCGGUCGAGGCUGAGGGCUCCGCGUAAGCGUGAGGACGGCAGAGGGACGACGCGAUUCGACCCGUCUUGAAACACGGACCAAGGAGUCUAGCGCAGCUGCGAGUCAAAGGGUGUUAAAACCUGAGGGCGCAGUGAAAGCGAGUUUUGAAAACGAGCAGUUUGAGGCGGCAUACAAUCGUUGAUUGUAGGUCCGACCUAGAGCAGUUGCGCUGGGACCCGAAAGAUGGUGAACUAUGCCGGAGUAGGGCGAAGCCAGAGGAAACUCUGGUGGAGGCUCGUAGCGGUGCUGACGUGCAAAUCGCUCGUCCAACUCGGGUAUAGGGGCGAAAGACUAAUCGAACCAUCUAGUAGCUGGUUCCCUCCGAAGUUUCUCUCAGGAUAGCGGGCCGACUGACGUUGUUUUGUGCGGUAAAGCGAAUGAUUAGCGCACUCGGGGACGUUUAGUCUUCGGGCGAUUCUCAAACUUUCAAUGCGCAAGGGUGCCGCUGCUUUAUUGAGCGGCACCGGCAAAAACGUCGGCCCCGUGGGCCACUUUUGGUAAGCAAGAACUGGCGAUACGGGAUGAACCGUAAGCGUGGUUAAGGCGCCAAAUUGCCCGCUUAAAGAACCCAAAAAAGGUGUUGAUUCAUCGAGACAGCAGGACGGUGGCCAUGAAGUCGGAAUCCGCUAAGGAGUGUGUAACAACUCACCUGCCGAAUGAAUUAGCCCUGAAAAUGGAUGGCGCUUAAGCGGGUAGCCGACACCACGCCGUCUGAACAAAGUGGUUUUCAGAUGAGUAGGAGGGCGUGGCGGUCGUGAGGAAGCGUGCGUGCGAACGCGCGUGAAACGGCCGCUAGUGCAGAUCUUGGUGGUAGUAGCAAAUAUUCAAGCGAGAUCCUUGAAGGGCGAAGCGGGGAAGGGUUCCACGCGAACAUUGAUUGGGCGUGGGUGAGUCGUUCCUAAGCCGAGUGGCCAUUGCUAAAUAACGGCGAAAGGGAAGCGGGUUGACAUUCCCGCACACGGAUGUGGAGGCGGCGACGCCUUAUUGGGGUGAUUACGCUGGCGGUGGCGCUGGGCAGAGUUGUCUUUUCUGUUUGACCGCGUUGUGUGCGCUGUGUGGAAUCCGCUUGUCGGGAGAAACACGCGUGCACGGGCAGAGCGCCGGGGCUUUUCCGGCGUCCAGCUCGCCACCGACGGCCCUUGAAACAUCACCUGCUGGACAACGAUUUUGUUGUUUGUAAAAUCCACGCCGUGGCGUACCGAUCACCGCAUCAGGUCCCCAAGGUGAACAGCCUCUGCUCGAUAUGAACAAUGCAGGUAAGGGAAGUCGGCAAAUUGGACCCGUAACUUUGGGAAAAGGGUUGGCUCUAGUGCUGCGUGGGACUGGUUGUCGUGUCUGCUGGCGGUUUCCGGGGGUGCGGAUUGCGGUUCGGGGCCUUUGGUUCUGUGCUGUGUCUGUGCCACUAGAUUCUGCCGCUCGCGACGACGCCCACAGCAUGCAGCAGACUAGAACUGCAACGGGCAAAGGGAAUCCGACUGUUUAAUUAAAACAAAGCAUUGCGAAGGCCGUGGCCGGUGUUGACGCAAUGUGAUUUCUGCUCAGUGCUCUGAAUGUCAAAGUGAAGAGAUUCAAUCAAGCGCGGGUAAACAGCGGGAGUAACUAUGACUCUCUUAAGGUAGCCAAAUGCCUCGUCAUCUAAUUAGUGACGCGCAUGAAUGGAUUAACGAGAUUCCUACUGUCCCUAUCUGCUUCUAGCGAAACCACAGCCGAGGGAACGGGCUCGGCGAAAUCGGCGGGGAAAGAAGACCCUGUUGAGCUUGACUCUAUUCUAAUUUUGUGAAACAAGUUGGGAGGUGUAGCAUAGGUGGGAGUGCUUGCACGUCCGUGAAAUACCACUACUCCCAGUCUUGUUUUACUUACUGGGUUGGUGUGGGUGAGUCUUAUGACUCUUUUUUAGAACCAACGUCCGUUAAGGGCAGACCACCGCCCAGUACACAUUUAGGAGGGGAGUUUGGCUGGGGCGGCACAUCUUCUACAAGACAACGAAGGUGUCCUAAGAUGAGCUCAGUGAGAACAGAAAUCUCACGUAGCGCAAAAGGGUAAAAGCUCGUUUGAUUUUGAUUUUCAGUGCGAGUCGAAAACGCGAAAGCGUGGCCUAUCGAUCCUUUCACGAUUCGAGAUUUGAAGCGAGAGGUGUCAGAAAAGUUACCACAGGGAUAACUGGCUUGUGGCGGCCAAGCGUUCAUAGCGACGUCGCUUUUUGAUCCU
Molecule: ribosomal RNA, 2701 nt
Filed under: Pterothamnion villosum
Lineage: Eukaryota; Rhodophyta; Florideophyceae; Ceramiales; Ceramiaceae
Description: LSU rRNA
Rfam family: Eukaryotic large subunit ribosomal RNA
Source: RNAcentral